UUGGAGGGCAAGUCUGGUGCCAGCAGCCGCGGUAAUUCCAGCUCCAAUAGCGUAUAUUAAAGUUGUUGCAGUUAAAAAGCUCGUAGUUGAAUUUCGGGGUCAGUAGGUUGGUCAUGCCACUGGUAUGUACUGGUCUCACUGAUUCCUCCUUCCUGAUGAGCCGUAAUGCCAUUAAUUUGGUGUUGCGAGGAAUCUGGACUGUUACUUUGAAAAAAUUAGAGUGUUUAAAGCAAGCUGACGCUUGAAUACAUUAGCAUGGAAUAAUGAAAUAGGACGUUCGAUCCUAUUUUGUUGGUUUCUAGGAUUGACGUAAUGAUUAAUAGGGAUAGUUGGGGGCAUUAGUAUUCUAUUGUCAGAGGUGAAAUUCUUGGAUUUAUUGAAGACUAACUACUGCGAAAGCAUUUGCCAAGGAUGUUUUCAUUAAUCAAGAACGAAAGUUAGGGGAUCGAAGACGAUCAGAUACCGUCGUAGUCUUAACCAUAAACUAUGCCGACUAGGGAUCGGAUGAUGUUAUUUUUAAUGACUUAUUCGGCGCCUUACGGGAAACCAAAGUGUUUGGGUUC
This 563-nucleotide ribosomal RNA is filed under the name uncultured Glomeromycotina. Its description in RNAcentral is "SSU rRNA". It matches the Rfam family "Eukaryotic small subunit ribosomal RNA", at positions 548 to 1114 of the family's 1831-position model. The record is from RNAcentral. Lineage: Eukaryota; Fungi; Glomeromycota.